RNAcentral lists this long non-coding RNA (761 nucleotides) under Ricinus communis (castor bean). RNAcentral's name for it is "long non-coding RNA (RCOM_LNC001860)". Lineage: Eukaryota; Viridiplantae; Streptophyta; Magnoliopsida; Malpighiales; Euphorbiaceae. The record is from RNAcentral.
CUAUUACUUUAUUUAUAUUAUGUUAAAAUUAAUGGCUAUUUUCUAUUCUAUAAUUUACAAUUUAUUAGUUUUUAAUUCAAUACUUAUGAAAUUUAGGCUAACAUAUUUAAUUCAACAGUUAUUGUAAUUAAAUAGAAAGAAAUAAGAAAUAUAAAACAGAAAAUUAAAGCUCCCUCAAAAUCUAAAAAUUUUUUAAGAGACGAAAAAAAUUGAUCCUUACUCUCAACGUUCUAAAAAGCCUCCUCUAAUGGUCUCUAGGCCAAGAAGCAUCCCAAAUCUCUCUGUCCAUAAGGUAUUUAAUCUCCGGAAGCGCAUUAUUUAAUCUCUGCAAAAAGGCAUUAUGCAGCUCAUAAGUACGGCAAAUCUCCAACCUGAUUUGCUUCCCGGGAAACAUGAUGCAUGGAAUCAACCUUCAAGAUGAUUUUACCUGAAACUUUAAUUGGAUCUUAUUCUUAGCCCACAAUUAAUUCAGCCUGAACAGAAUUACAUCGGCCGAAAUUAACAUGAACCCUCUAUUAGGAUGUCAGUAAAUACCUCUAGCUCUUUUCGCAAAGCACUUCAAUUAUCUGUUGAAUGUUUUUGCUCAAUCUGAUUCUAUGAAUGCCAUCUUUUGGGUAAGCAAAUAUGAAAUAGCUAGACCGCACCAUGGUGUUUGCAUUCUGAAUUCUGCUUAAUUGAAAAUCUCACGAAAAGGCUGACCAACAUGUCCUCCUUGCAUACUCAUCCUUACUUCAGCUGACUGGUCAUUCAAGUACCUAUUG